UUGCCUAUAAACGUGGGAUCGCCGUUACCUCUGCGGAAGGCAUGGCAGGCCAUUUCCCUCCCAUGAGCAGGUAGCUCGCAGCUCUGACUUUUCAUUCAGCGAGCCAGGGCCGCCCGUGACAAGCAUCCCUGCGAGGUGGGAGAAGCUAGCAGCGUGGCGCUGCCGCGGCAAGAAGGAGAGGGCGAUAAACGGCGACGCAUGACAACCCGAAGCGCCAUGUGGAGCAGCUCCCUAGGGAGCACUAUCCAAAAGCCCCCUUUGAAGAAGUACUCAAGUGACCCUCUGUGAAGUGCUAUCUGAGCAAAUCAUUCUGAAACCUGCUUGCACCUCCCCUUUUAAAGUGCUUCCUAAACUGCAAUCCCACAAUGGUAAGAUGUUUACCUUGGGUAGGUAAAGUAGCUCACUGUGGAUUUUUCAUUUAUAUUAGGCUACUUUUAUAAAGGAGUUCCAAUGUA
Long non-coding RNA from Dermochelys coriacea (leatherback sea turtle), 455 nucleotides. RefSeq lists it as uncharacterized. The record is from RefSeq and is a predicted model, not a curated record. Lineage: Eukaryota; Metazoa; Chordata; Testudines; Dermochelyidae. The transcript is spliced from 2 exons.